GAUGAACGCUGGCGGCGUGCCUAACACAUGCAAGUCGAACGGAGUUAUGAUGUGAGCGGGAAGUGCUUGCACUAAACAAUCUUUUCAUAACUUAGUGGCGGACGGGUGAGUAACGCGUGGGUAACCUGCCUUAUACAGGGGGAUAACAGUUAGAAAUGACUGCUAAUACCGCAUAAGCGCACAGGAUUGCAUGAUCUAGUGUGAAAAACUCCGGUGGUAUAAGAUGGACCCGCGUCUGAUUAGCUUGUUGGCAGGGCAACGGCCUACCAAGGCGACGAUCAGUAGCCGACCUGAGAGGGUGACCGGCCACAUUGGGACUGAGACACGGCCCAAAACUCCUACGGGAGGCAGCAGUGGGGAAUAUUGCACAAUGGGGGAAACCCUGAUGCAGCGACGCCGCGUGGAGGAAGAAGGUCUUCGGAUUGUAAACUCCGUAGUUGUUGAGGAAGAUAAUGACGGUACUCAACAAGGAAGU
Molecule: ribosomal RNA, 475 nt
Filed under: uncultured bacterium
Lineage: Bacteria
Description: bacterial SSU rRNA
Rfam family: Bacterial small subunit ribosomal RNA
Source: RNAcentral